This is a non-coding RNA of Paramuricea clavata, 71 nucleotides long. The record is from the annotation of a GenBank genome assembly. NCBI's taxonomy places the organism in Eukaryota, Metazoa, Cnidaria, Anthozoa, Malacalcyonacea, Plexauridae.
GACCUUGUAGCACAGUAGAGCAUCGUUCUAGAAAUGCGAAGGUCGCGGGGUUCGAAUCCCAGCCGCGGUCA